RNAcentral lists this ribosomal RNA (712 nucleotides) under Pseudomonas protegens. RNAcentral's name for it is "bacterial SSU rRNA". It matches the Rfam family "Bacterial small subunit ribosomal RNA", at positions 48 to 754 of the family's 1533-position model. Lineage: Bacteria; Pseudomonadati; Pseudomonadota; Gammaproteobacteria; Pseudomonadales; Pseudomonadaceae. The record is from RNAcentral.
GCUACACAUGCAGUCGAGCGGCAGCACGGGUACUUGUACCUGGUGGCGAGCGGCGGACGGGUGAGUAAUGCCUAGGAAUCUGCCUAGUAGUGGGGGAUAACGUCCGGAAACGGGCGCUAAUACCGCAUACGUCCUACGGGAGAAAGUGGGGGAUCUUCGGACCUCACGCUAUUAGAUGAGCCUAGGUCGGAUUAGCUAGUUGGUGAGGUAAUGGCUCACCAAGGCGACGAUCCGUAACUGGUCUGAGAGGAUGAUCAGUCACACUGGAACUGAGACACGGUCCAGACUCCUACGGGAGGCAGCAGUGGGGAAUAUUGGACAAUGGGCGAAAGCCUGAUCCAGCCAUGCCGCGUGUGUGAAGAAGGUCUUCGGAUUGUAAAGCACUUUAAGUUGGGAGGAAGGGCAGUUACCUAAUACGUGAUUGUUUUGACGUUACCGACAGAAUAAGCACCGGCUAACUCUGUGCCAGCAGCCGCGGUAAUACAGAGGGUGCAAGCGUUAAUCGGAAUUACUGGGCGUAAAGCGCGCGUAGGUGGUUUGUUAAGUUGGAUGUGAAAGCCCCGGGCUCAACCUGGGAACUGCAUCCAAAACUGGCAAGCUAGAGUAUGGUAGAGGGUGGUGGAAUUUCCUGUGUAGCGGUGAAAUGCGUAGAUAUAGGAAGGAACACCAGUGGCGAAGCGACCACCUGGACUGAUACUGACACUGAAGGUGC